UACGUAGGUGGCAAGCGUUAUCCGGAAUUAUUGGGCGUAAAGGGAGCGCAGGCGGUUUAUCAAGUUUGUGGUUAAAGUUCGGGGCUCAACCCCGUGAUGCCAUAGAAACUGGUAGACUAGAGUGCAGGAGAGGUAAGUGGAAUUCCAUGUGUAGCGGUAAAAUGCGUAGAUAUAUGGAGGAACACCAGUGGCGAAGGCGGCUUACUGGCCUGUAACUGACGCUGAGGCUCGAAAGCGUGGGGAGCAAAUAGG
RNAcentral lists this ribosomal RNA (252 nucleotides) under uncultured bacterium. RNAcentral's name for it is "partial 16S ribosomal RNA". It matches the Rfam family "Bacterial small subunit ribosomal RNA", at positions 524 to 776 of the family's 1533-position model. The record is from RNAcentral.